This 517-nucleotide ribosomal RNA is filed under the name uncultured Verrucomicrobiota bacterium. RNAcentral describes it as "bacterial SSU rRNA". It matches the Rfam family "Bacterial small subunit ribosomal RNA", at positions 355 to 866 of the family's 1533-position model. Lineage: Bacteria; Pseudomonadati; Verrucomicrobiota. The record is from RNAcentral.
UCGAGAAUUUUUCUCAAUGGGGGAAACCCUGAAGGAGCGACGCCGCGUGGAGGAUGAAGGUCUUCGGAUUGUAAACUCCUGUCAUUGGUGAACAAGGCCAUCGGUUAACUGCCGUUUGGUUUGAUAGUAGCCGAAGAGGAAGAGACGGCUAACUCUGUGCCAGCAGCCGCGGUAAUACAGAGGUCUCAAGCGUUGUUCGGAUUCAUUGGGCGUAAAGGGUGCGUAGGCGGCGAGGCAAGUCUGGUGUGAAAUCCCGGGGCUCAACCCCGGAACUGCACUGGAUACUGCUUUGCUAGAGUACUGGAGAGGGAACUGGAAUUUACGGUGUAGCAGUGAAAUGCGUAGAUAUCGUAAGGAAGACCAGCGGCGAAGGCGAGUUCCUGGACAGUAACUGACGCUGAGGCACGAAGGCCAGGGGAGCAAACGGGAUUAGAUACCCCGGUAGUCUUGGCAGUAAACGGUGCGCGUUUGGUGUGGGAGGAUUCGACCCUUCGUGCCGGAGCUAACGCGUUAAACG